Molecule: ribosomal RNA, 1102 nt
Filed under: Lentzea waywayandensis
Lineage: Bacteria; Bacillati; Actinomycetota; Actinomycetes; Pseudonocardiales; Pseudonocardiaceae
Description: bacterial LSU rRNA
Rfam family: Bacterial large subunit ribosomal RNA
Source: RNAcentral
UCUGUUUAGAGUGUUCCCAAGUAGCAGCGUACUCGUGAAAUUCGCUGUGAAUCUGGCGGGACCACCCGCUAAGCCUAAAUACUCCCUGGUGACCGAUAGCGGACUAGUACCGUGAGGGAAAGAUGAAAAGUACCCCGGGAGGGGAGUGAAAUAGUACCUGAAACCGUGUGCCUACAAUCCGUCGGAGCCUUUAGGGGUGACGGCGUGCCUUUUGAAGAAUGAGCCUGCGAGUUAGUGCUACGUGGCGAGGUUAACCCGUGUGGGGUAGCCGUAGCGAAAGCGAGUCUGAAUAGGGCGCUUGAGUCGCGUGGUCUAGACCCGAAGCGGUGUGAUCUAGCCAUGGCCAGGGUGAAGCGCGGGUAAGACCGCGUGGAGGCCCGAACCCACCAGGGUUGAAAACCUGGGGGAUGAGCUGUGGUUAGGGGUGAAAGGCCAAUCAAACACCGUGAUAGCUGGUUCUCCCCGAAAUGCAUUUAGGUGCAGCGUCGUGUGUUUCUCAUCGGGGGUAGAGCACUGGAUGGUCUAGGGGGCCUACAAGCUUACCGAAAUCAACCAAACUCCGAAUACCGAUGAGUGAGAGCGCGGCAGUGAGACUGCGGGGGAUAAGCUUCGUAGUCGAGAGGGAAACAGCCCAGAACGCCAGCUAAGGUCCCUAAGUGUGUGCUAAGUGGGAAAGGAUGUGGGGUCGCACAGACAGCCAGGAGGUUGGCUUAGAAGCAGCCACCCUUUAAAGAGUGCGUAAUAGCUCACUGGUCAAGUGGUCCUGCGCCGACAAUGUAGCGGGGCUUAAGCACACCACCGAAGCUGUGUCAUUUCGAGUUUACUCGGGAUGGGUAGGGGAGCGUCGUGUAGCGGUUGAAGCGGCGGAGUAAUCCAGCCGUGGACGCUAUGCGAGUGAGAAUGCAGGCAUGAGUAGCGAAAGACGAGUGAGAAACUCGUCCGCCGGAUGACCAAGGGUUCCUGGGCCAGGCUAAUCCGCCCAGGGUAAGUCGGGACCUAAGGCGAGGCCGACAGGCGUAGUCGAUGGACAACGGGUUGAUAUUCCCGUACCCGUGUGAACGCGCCCAUGAUGAACCUUGUGAUACUAACCGCCCGAAGCACC